GACGAACGCUGGCGGCGUGCCUAAUACAUGCAAGUAGAACGCUGAAGGAGGAGCUUGCUCUUCUGGAUGAGUUGCGAACGGGUGAGUAACGCGUAGGUAACCUGCCUGGUAGCGGGGGAUAACUAUUGGAAACGAUAGCUAAUACCGCAUAACAGUAGAUGUUGCAUGACAUUUGCUUAAAAGGUGCAAUUGCAUCACUACCAGCUGGACCUGCGUUGUAUUAGCUAGUUGGUGGGGUAACGGCUCACCAAGGCGACGAUACAUAGCCGACCUGAGAGGGUGAUCGGCCACACUGGGACUGAGACACGGCCCAGACUCCUACGGGAGGCAGCAGUAGGGAAUCUUCGGCAAUGGACGGAAGUCUGACCGAGCAACGCCGCGUGAGUGAAGAAGGUUUUCGGAUCGUAAAGCUCUGUUGUAAGAGAAGAACGAGUGUGAGAGUGGAAAGUUCACACUGUGACGGUAUCUUACCAGAAAGGGACGGCUAACUACGUG
RNAcentral lists this ribosomal RNA (495 nucleotides) under uncultured bacterium. Its description in RNAcentral is "partial 16S ribosomal RNA". It matches the Rfam family "Bacterial small subunit ribosomal RNA", at positions 28 to 507 of the family's 1533-position model. The record is from RNAcentral.